GCGCAGGCGCAGGGCCAGGUCCUCUGGUUUGAAGCGACGCAGACCUGCGCAUUGCCUGGAACGUGCUGGGCCAGGAGGUUUGUCUCGGUAUUCAGAUGGAAGUUACGAUCCCAACUUCUGGUGAUGAAUGAAAUGUCUGAAGUCAGCAGGCAAGCGGUGAUACAGUUUAGCUUUGCACUGUACUAAUGGAAUUUGCGGGCAGCAUGGAACUGGGAGGUGUUUUGUGAAUCCGCUGAAGCCCUCCUGCAGGUGCUGGCUGACUUCAAGCAAAUUAAAGGGAAGUUCGGGACAUUUCCAGUCCCUUAAAAAGAUGGUGCUUCUGUUGAAAACAGGCGGGGGUCAGCAAGAUGCGGGUCCGUCCCGGUGUGCUGCAUCCUGCUUAGAGGCGGGUGACGGCCGGCGCCUGCGGAAGGGCGAGUUCAGCGGCUGGCAUCUCUCUCUGCUCUGACUGCGCUGACAAGCUGGAGCCUAAAUAGUAAAAUUCCCACAGCGGGCGAGACAGAGCUGAGAUCUGCUUAUACUCCUUUGGACUGUUUCUCACCUGU
Grus americana (Whooping crane) is the source of this 545-nucleotide long non-coding RNA. RefSeq lists it as uncharacterized. Lineage: Eukaryota; Metazoa; Chordata; Aves; Gruiformes; Gruidae. The transcript has 5 exons. The record is from RefSeq and is a predicted model, not a curated record.